GUCCGGGUAGCUUAGUUGGUCAGAGCGCCGUACUAAUAAUGUGGAGGUCGAGGGUUCGAGCCUCUCUCAGGGCA
RNAcentral lists this transfer RNA (74 nucleotides) under Echinostoma caproni. It matches the Rfam family "tRNA". Rfam says of the family: Transfer RNA (tRNA) molecules are approximately 80 nucleotides in length. Their secondary structure includes four short double-helical elements and three loops (D, anti-codon, and T loops). Further hydrogen bonds mediate the characteristic L-shaped molecular structure. tRNAs have two regions of fundamental functional importance: the anti-codon, which is responsible for specific mRNA codon recognition, and the 3' end, to which the tRNAs corresponding amino acid is attached (by aminoacyl-tRNA synthetases). tRNAs cope with the degeneracy of the genetic code in two manners: having more than one tRNA (with a specific anti-codon) for a particular amino acid; and 'wobble' base-pairing, i.e. permitting non-standard base-pairing at the 3rd anti-codon position. Lineage: Eukaryota; Metazoa; Platyhelminthes; Trematoda; Plagiorchiida; Echinostomatidae. The record is from Rfam by way of RNAcentral.